Long non-coding RNA from Coregonus clupeaformis (lake whitefish), 423 nucleotides. RefSeq lists it as uncharacterized. The record is from RefSeq and is a predicted model, not a curated record. The transcript has 3 exons. Lineage: Eukaryota; Metazoa; Chordata; Actinopteri; Salmoniformes; Salmonidae.
CAGUGCUAACAGAAUAACUCAGGUUCAUUGGCGCAUGAUUACUGCUUACAAUAUCUGUUCGACUGACAGAGGCAUUCAGGGAAGUUAGAGGAAAAUACAUUUGGUUACUUACAUUAUGACUUCCAACACAGGGAUAAUGUACAUUUGCAGCAGCACUACGACAACUCAGCGACACAAUGACACCACAGAAUGGCGACGAGGAACAUUUGGGACGUAUUGCGUCUUUUCUCAGCAUUCCAUUCAUGGGCAACGAAGUGACUCCCGCUCAAGACGCCGGCAGAUAAGAGACGAGAAGGAGGAGACAGAGAGAGAGAGAGGGGAGGUGCUGACGAGUACAUCAAGCGACAGGGUGUGCUGCAACGGAUCAAGUCAAAUUAAGGCCAGUACUGUUCUAUCCACAAAACCUACUUUCCCUUACAGGAU